This 279-nucleotide ribosomal RNA is filed under the name uncultured bacterium. RNAcentral describes it as "partial 16S ribosomal RNA". It matches the Rfam family "Bacterial small subunit ribosomal RNA", at positions 506 to 784 of the family's 1533-position model. The record is from RNAcentral.
UGCCAGCCGCCGCGGUAAUACGAACCGGACGAACGUUAUUCGGAAUCACUGGGCUUAAAGAGUGCGUAGGCGGCUUGGUAGGUUGGGUGUGAAAUCCCACAGCUCAACUGUGGAACUGCGCUCAAAACCACCAAGCUUGAGGAAGGCAGAGGUGAGCGGAACUGAUGGUGGAGCGGUGAAAUGCGUUGAUAUCAUCAGGAACACCGGUGGCGAAGGCGGCUCACUGGGACCUUUCUGACGCUGAGGCACGAAAGCUAGGGGAGCGAACGGGAUUAGAUA